GUCCGUUGCCUCUGAAUCUGAUGUGCCGAUUGGAUUGCCGCAGGAGGCCAGGAAGGCCACAAGUGAGGCAUCCAGCUCGACUUCGCCAUGCGGGUGCGCUGCACAUUCCACCCAUCGCCGGCAAAUCAUUCGUCAGCUGGGAAGGUGAGCAAGCAGGUACUGCCUUGCGCUUUCUGUUGUUCAUUUUCCAUUUCAUUUCUUGAUCAGCGUUCGCGUCACCACUUCAGAAUGCUGUUAUCUGAAGCUUAUCUUGUUUUCUUUGACUCAAAUAUUAUUGUGAGUACGCCAUUAUAUUAUUUGUUAGAUUUUUUAUCGAUCGAGUAGAUACUUUUCGAGACAAAAUGACUCGUGUCUGAAACUUAUGAUCUCUCCAGUGUACUUACAUUUUGGUAGCAUGUGCACUUCAUAAUUAUAUUAGUAGAAGCACUGCUUAUAUUAGCAAUUUAUUAGUACAUACUCUCCAAUUCACCACGCCUGCACAUUUUGACCGGUGUACCCUGAUAAUUUAUUAGCUUUGUGAUCGAUCAACAUAUCGUUUAGAACCCAAAUGUACUGUUAUCUGAAGCUUAUUGUUUUAUCGGUGUAAUUCGCAUGCUGAUGAUUGUACUCUCCAGCUCUCCAGGCUUGAACAUUUUCGUCAGUGUAACCUGAUCAUUUCCUAGCUUCUUCAUAAUUGAUUAGACCAUCAGAUACUACAUUGCCAAUUUUCCGGUAAACUACUACAGUAUCAUUUUCCAAUUUCAGGUAUGAAUAUUGCUAAAUGUAAAAUUCUCUUGCGGGCGAGAAUAUGUGUUGUAAAAAUUUAUGAAGUAUUUGUAGUGCCUAUUUUAUUUUCUCAAAUAUAUUAGUUUUUCCUCAAUAUUUCUAUUUUUGAGAUUUUGUGACGGGGGCCUUUGCGAGAGAACUUUUUGUAGGAGGCAAAAGUGGUAGGGGCACGGACCUGUCCAAAAGGCCCUACCCUAGGACGUCCCUAGAAAAAGUCACCUUUCAAUCGACUUGAAGGCAUCCCACUCGACGGGUUCAAGACACUUGACCAAGAAGCUAUCACUCGACCAUGAAGCCAACCACUCGACUGCCAGGAGACCUAAAGUCACUCCGCAGGCAAACGGUCGGUUAUUAAGUAGUCUUUAUGGUCAUUAUAGCACUUUAUUAGGGGCGUUACCAGUAACGCCCAACCUUAAAUGUACCUUAAACCCUGCAUUACUGAGGGCAGGAGGGGGCCGGCGAACUCUAUAUAAGCCACCACCCUUCUCAGUAUGGAGGGUUCGCACCCCUGUGAUCCAUACACGCAUAAUCCAAUCGACCGCCUCUGGGCUCCGAAACGUAGGGCUAUUACUUCCUUCGAGAAGGGUCUGAACUCGUAAACCUCGCGUGCUUACAACUUCUUCAUAGCUGAGAUCUAGCCUCUCCAUACACACCCCCUACAUCACUGUCAGAGUUAGAACCACGACAGUUGGCGCCCACCUUGGGGCAGGAAUCUUAGCGCUUAGUUGGAGAAAUUGCGAUCUUUUUCGAUCCCUAUGAUCAUGGUUUCUUGCGGAGUUUUGGUGCAGGGCCGCGAGAUCCGUCUCGGCGCGCUCACGUUCAUCGCCGACGACUCUGCCUGGCUUCAGGAGGCACCACUCGACAUCGACGCGCUCCCCGUCUGCGGUGCGACGCACUUCCACGCGUGCAUUCGUGGCGUCCUCCUGCGGCAGCCGUCGACCCAGUAUCAGUCGGCCCCCGUGUCGUCUCCCCACCCUGUCUCUCACCAGCGCAAACGCUCCGGUCGGUCGAGACUUCAGCGGUGGGUGAGGCAUGUCGUGGCCCGCCAGUCGGCAACCCCACAAGUCGCGGCAAUCGGGCCCGACGAAUCCCUCUGCGGCCUGUUCGACCCGUCGACUGGCUCUGCGGAGACCGCAUCCGAGUGCGACAGCAACGACCCAGCGGCUGAGGUUCUGGCGGUCGAUGGAACGCACAGUCCUCCCGGUUUCCCUCGCGCUGAUGGAGGCGCGGAUGGGGGCAACCCGUCGCAUCCCCACGAUGAGUAUCUCCCCGAACCUCUCACGUCAUUACAGCGAGAGGAGCUUCGCCGCCGGAACAUGAACGCACUCCACACUCCUAUUGUCGGAGAAACCCCCGAGGCCCGGGCCUUGGAGCACGCGCGCUUGGCUAACCUGGCCGAGCGCACUCGACUGGAGAAUCUCCAGCGAAUACUCGACGAGCAAGCGCGUCAGCGAGCUCCCGAGUCCAGCCGACGUCAGCAAGCUCCCAAGUCCAGUCGGCGUCAACUCUUCCCGUCGACACAGGUAUAUCGAACCCCAGUUUAGAAUUUGGCCGCCGCAGCCCGUAUAACAGAAUCGAUUCAGCCCUCCCAGUCAGAGGCCGGCAGGGGCUUGUUACAGAUCAGAGCGUUGCUCCGGGCGGCGGGGAACCAGAAUUCCGCCGUUUCUCAGUCGCGAAAUAGGAUCCACAGUCGAUCCGUUGCAACAGAUACAGUCCAGUCGGCUCAUAGCCCGAGAUCGCCCCCGAGGCGUGAGGGACGUGGUGACCGACAUGAUCAGUACAGGAGGAAUGAGCAGUACGACCACCGAUCCGAUUGUGAUGAUCGACGUCGAGUGCCAACCCCUCCCCCGAGGAGUGGGUCAUAUGCGCCUCGACAGCGAGAUGACAGGCACCCUCAUAGUGUUGGGCGGAGGAUGUCAGUCGACCCCAGGGACCCAGGCUUUGAUGCGAGAUCCAUCCUCGUUCAAGGUUUGGUUGACAGGAACAGAGCUCAUCGAGAAGGCCACAACAGAGAUGCGCCUGCCAGCAGCAGAGUGCACGUUUCGGGGCCAGAGUGUUUCAGUCGAGCCAUCAGAGCCGAAGUGAUUCCUCCCAACUUCAGGCUGGCGAUUGGAGUCAGCAAGUUCACCAGUGAAUCUAAGCCUGACACUUGGCUCGAAGAUUACCGAGUGGCUGUACAGAUUGGCGGUGGCAAUGAUGAGGUGGCCAUGAAGCAUUUGCCUCUCAUGUUAGAGGGCUCAACCAGAGCGUGGCUAAAUCAGUUGGCACCCAGCAGCAUGUACACUUGGGAGGACCUCUCCCGAGUGUUUGUCACAACCUUCGAGGGAACAUGCAAGCGACCCGCAGGCCUUACGGAAUUGCGGUCUUGUGUGCAGAAGCUGAAUGAAACUCUGAGGGAUUACAUCCAGAGGUGGAUCACUCUGCAUCACACGGUUGAGAAUGUGCCAGAUCAUCAAGCAGUUUGCACCUUCAAGGAAGGCGUUAAAUACAGAGAAUUGAAUCUGAAGUUCGGCCGAACUGGAGAGAUGUCUCUGAAACGGAUGAUGGAGAUUGCCACCAAAUACGCUAAUGGUGAAGACGAAGACCGACUCCGGAGUGGCAAGCACAAGGCAGUCGCCCAAGAAAUCGGAGGGAACUCCAGUCGGAAGCAAAAACGGAAGGCCGAGCCAGCCGCCCCUGAAGAGGCCCUGGCCGUAGCCCAGGGAAAAUUCCAGGGAAAACCCAAGGGGCCCUGGAAACUCAAGAAAGUUAAGGAUCAAGAUGGAAAUGAUGUUUUGGAUCUGCCAUGUCACAUCCACACCAAGAAAGAUGAAGAGGGUAAUUUUAUUUACCCAAAGCAUACCACUCGACAGUGCCGGCUCCUGAUCCAGCAGUUUCAGGGCAAGCAGCCCAAAGAUAAGGAAAAAGAGUCGGACAGAGUUGAGGACAAGAAAGGUAGUGAUGAUGGAUACCCCCAAGUCAAUUCCACCCUGAUGAUUUUUGCUGAUGUCGAAAGCAAAAGUCGACUGAAAGUCAUUAACCGCGAGGUGAACAUGGUUGCUCCAGCAACACCCAGUUACCUGAAGUGGUCUCAGACUGCCAUCACAUUCGACCAGUCUGAUCACCCGACGCACAUUGCCACCCCCGGGAGGCAAGCUUUGGUGGUCGACCCAGUUGUCGAAGGCACUCGACUGACCAAAGUCCUGAUGGAUGAUGGCAGUGGACUGAACAUACUGUACGCUGAAACAUUGAAAGCGAUGGGCAUUUCGAUGCCCAGACUCAGUACCAGCAACAUGAGCUUCCACGGAGUCAUUCCAGGGAAGAAAGCCGAAUCACUCGGCCAGAUUGCUCUUGAUGUGGUUUUCGGUGAUUCAAAGAAUUACGGCAAGGAAAAGUUGACAUUCGAGGUUGUGGACUUCCAAAGUGCUUAUCAUGCCAUUUUGGGCAGGCCAGCUUACGCACGCUUCAUGGCUCGACCAUGUUACGUAUAUCUCAAACUGAAGAUGCCUGACCCCAAAGGUGUGAUCACUGUUACGGGCAACCGAAAAAAAGCAGAAGAGUGUUUUUAGAAAGGCUCAAAGAUCGCUGAUGCUCAGAUGGCAGCGGUCGAGCUGCAAGAGUACCAAAAGACUGCCGAUCCAAGUGAAUUGCUACGGGCCAAGAAGCCUGCUUCAGAAUCAGCUUUUCAGUCGUCCGGCGAAACAAAGCCAGCCCACAUUCACCCGACCGACCCCGAUGCUGCCCCGACUCACAUCUCAAUGACGCUCGACUCCAAAUAGGAAGAAGCGCUCGUCCAGCUCCUCCGUGAGAACUGGAACAUCUUCGCAUGGAAACCCUCUGACAUGCCUGGAGUUCCCAGAGGGCUGGCUGAGCACCGUCUAUGAGUCGACCCAAAAGUCAAGCCUGUGAAGGAACAUCUUUGACGGUCCGCCGUCCAGAAGAAGCAAGCCAUUGGCGAGGAGCUGGCUCGGCUCUUAGCAGCGGAGUUCAUCCGAGAGAUUUACCACUCCGAGUGGCUCGCCAGUGUCGUCAUGGUCCCCAAGAAGGACAAGUCACUUCGCAUGUGCAUUGAUUUCAAACAUAUCAAUCGGGCCUGCCCGAAAGAUCAUUUUCCUCUCCCUCGCAUCGACCAAAUAGUCGACUCGACUGCGGGGUGCGAGAGAUUGUCUUUUCUAGAUGCCUAUUCCGGGUACCACUAGAUCCGUCUGUAUGGACCCGACGAGAUCAAAACAGCUUUCAUCACUCCAUUCGGAUGCUUCUGUUACGUCACCAUGCCGUUGGGCCUCAAGAACGCCGGAGCCACGUUUAUGAGACUGAUUCAGAAGUGUUUACUCACUCAAAUCAGUCGGAAUGUGGAGGCAUACAUGGAUGAUAUUAUGGUCAAGUCACGGAAAGGUUCCGACCUGCAGACUGACCUUGCUGAAACCUUUGCCAACCUCAGGAGGUAUGAUAUCAAGCUCAAUCCAUCAAAGUGCACAUUCGGAGUUCCAGGUGGAAAGUUACUCGGUUUUCUCGUUUCUGAACGGGGGAUCGAUGCCAAUCCUGAAAAAGUUGGCACCAUACUCCGGAUGAAGCGUCCCGUACGCGUGCACGAUGUCCAAAAGCUUACAGGCUGCUUGGCCGCCCUAAGUCGAUUCAUUUCUCGUCUCGGUGAAAAGGCGUUGCCUCUUUACCGACUGAUGAAGAAGUCUGACAAGUUCGAGUGGACUCCAGAAGCUGAUGCAGCAUUUGCAGAGCUCAAAGCUCUGCUCUCCACCCAGUCGGUGCUUGCUGCCCCAAUCAGCAAAGAGCCUCUGCUGCUUUACAUUGCAGCCACAGGACAAGUUGUCAGCACAGUACUUACGGUCGAGCGGGAAGAAGAAGGAAAGGCCUUCAGAGUUCAGCGCCCAGUCUAUUAUGUGUCUGAUGUUUUGACCCCUUCAAAACAAAGAUACCCUCACUACCAGAAGGUUGUAUAUGGGAUUUAUAUGACCAUGAAGAAGGUUGCACAUUACUUCUCUGACCACUCCAUUACAGUCGUCAGCGACGCCCCGCUGUCAGAGAUUCUGCAUAACAGAGAUGCAACUGGUCGAGUGGCCAAGUGGGCGAUUGAACUCCUUCCCUUAGAUAUCAAGUUCGAAGCAAAGAAGGCUAUAUCAAGUCCCAAGCAAUCGCAGAUUUCAUCGCCGAGUGGAUUGAACAGCAACUUCCGACUCAAGUUCACUCGGAGCACUGGACCAUGUUCUUCGAUGGAUCUAAGAUGCUGAAUGAUUCCGGUGCUGGGGUAGUAUUAGUUUCCCCCCGAGGAGAUAAGCUCAGAUACGUUCUCCAGAUUCACUUCGAUUCCUCCAAUAAUGAAGCAGAAUAUGAAGCACUUUUAUAUGGGUUGCGCAUGGCCAUUUCACUCGGCGUCCGUCGCCUCAUGGUCUAUGGUGACUCAGAUUUGGUGGUUAAUCAGGUGAUGAAGGAGUGGGACGUCAGAAGUCCGGCUAUGACUGGCUAUUGCAAUGCAGUGAGAAAGCUAGAAAGGAAAUUCGAGGGGUUAGAGCUUCAUCACAUUCCCCGACUGAAAAAUCAGGCAGCUGACGAUUUGGCAAAGAUAGGCUCCAAGAGAGAAGCCAUUCCCAGCAACGUGUUCCUGGAACACAUUCACUCACCGUCAGUCCAAGAAGAUCCUUUUAUAGAGGAAGCCCCGCAGCCGAAAAGUGCCACAGAUCCGACUGAAGUCGAAGUUCCUGUUGUGGUCGACCUAAUCAUGGAAGUGUUGGCAAUCACUCCUGACUGGACGAUACCGUACAUCGCGUAUAUCCUAAGGAAAGAACUCCCAGAGGACGAGGAAGAGGCUCGACAGAUCGUCCGACGAUCCAAGGCCUUCACAGUCAUAAAGGGACAGUUGUAUAGAGAAAGCGCGACUGGAAUCGGGCAGAAGUGCAUAACACCAGAAGAGGGUCAGAUAAUCCUUGAUGAUAUCCACUCGGGGACCUGUGGUCACCAUGCGUCCUCUCGGACCAUUGUGGCUAAAGCAUACCGAGCGGGAUUUUACUGGCCAAGAGCAAAUGAGAUGGCAAAGGAGAUAGUCGACAAGUGUGAAGGGUGCCAGUUCUACUCCAACAUGUCACACAAGCCUGCAUCAGCCCUGAAGACCAUCCCACUCGUCUGGCCCUUUGCCGUCUGGGGACUAGACAUGGUUGGUCCACUGAGAACGGGCAGGAGCGGUUUCACUCAUGUACUUGUGGCAGUCGAUAAAUUUACCAAAUGGAUUGAAGCUAAGCCCAUCAAGAAUCUUGAUGCUUGCACUGCUAUCAGUUUCGUCAGAGGACUAACAUUCAGAUAUGGAGUCCCGCAUAGCAUCAUCACGGACAAUGGGUCAAACUUCGAUUCGGACCAGUUCAGAGCUUUUUGCGCCUCUCAAGGCACACGAGUCGACUCGCAUCGGUCGCCCAUCCCCAGUCGAAUGGACAAGUCGAGAGAGCAAAUGGUCUGAUUCUCAAAGGACUAAAGCCUCGACUGAUGCGUGAUCUCAAGCACGCAACAGGCGCUUGGGUCGACGAGCUUCCGUCAGUUCUGUGGGGAUUGAGGACCACCCCUAACCGGUCGACUGGAAGAACUCCAUUCUUUCUAGUUUAUGGAGCCGAAGCAGUUCUGCCGAGUGAUCUUCUUCACAACGCACCCCGAGUCGAACUCUACACUGAAGAUGAAGCAGAACAAGCCCGGCAAGACGCAGUCGACCUCCUAGAAGAAGAGAGGGAGAUGGCCAUGAUCAUAUCGACCAUUUAUCAGCAAGACUUGCGUCGAUUCCACGCCCGGAACGUGAAGAGUCGAGCCUCCCAAGAAGGAGACUUGGUCCUCCGAGUGGAUCAACAGAAACCACACAAGCUUGCUCCUACUUGGGAAGGCCCCUUCAUCGUCACCAGAGUCCUCCACAAUGGAGCGUAUCACCUCUACAAUGUUGAUCGCCAGAUCGAUGAGCCACGAGCUUGGAAUGCGGAACUACUCCGCCCCUUUUACACUUGAGUUCUCCCUUGGACGAGAUGUAAUAAAAAAAAAUUCUGCAGUUCAUUUUUAUCGAAGACAAGAGUGUUCCAAUAAUUGCUGUCACUUUUGUUUGCUUACGAAAGCCCCCAGUGGGUGACUUAGCCGCAAAUCCGUUUCGCCUAGGUUUGAAAAAAUCCUACCGAGUGGAGAGCAACCCUCCCACUCGGGGGCUUAGCUGCAGUCCAGUACUCGCCUAAGUUCUCUCACUAAGAGACUUAGCUGCAGUCAGCACUCGCCUAAGUUUGAAAAAAUCCUACCGAGUGGAGAGCAAUCCUCCCACUCGGGGGCUUAGCUGCAGCCCAGCGCUCGCCUAAGUGUUUAAAAACUCCUACCGAGUGGAGAGCAAACCUCUCACUCGGGGGCUUAGCUGCAGCCCAGUACUCGCCUAAGUUCUCCCACUAAGAGAUUUAGAUGCAGUCAGCACUCGCCUAAGUUUGAAAAAAUCCUACCGAGUGGAGAGCAAUCCUCCCACUCGGGGCCUUAGCUNNNNNNNNNNNNNNNNNNNNNNNNNNNNNNNNNNNNNNNNNNNNNNNNNNNNNNNNNNNNNNNNNNNNNNNNNNNNNNNNNNNNNNNNNNNNNNNNNNNNNNNNNNNNNNNNNNNNNNNNNNNNNNNNNNNNNNNNNNNNNNNNNNNNNNNNNNNNNNNNNNNNNNNNNNNNNNNNNNNNNNNNNNNNNNNNNNNNNNNNNNNNNNNNNNNNNNNNNNNNNNNNNNNNNNNNNNNNNNNNNNNNNNNNNNNNNNNNNNNNNNNNNNNNNNNNNNNNNNNNNNNNNNNNNNNNNNNNNNNNNNNNNNNNNNNNNNNNNNNNNNNNNNNNNNNNNNNNNNNNNNNNNNNNNNNNNNNNNNNNNNNNNNNNNNNNNNNNNNNNNNNNNNNNNNNNNNNNNNNNNNNNNNNNNNNNNNNNNNNNNNNNNNNNNNNNNNNNNNNNNNNNNNNNNNNNNNNNNCUCGAGGGCUUAGCUGCAGUCGAGUACUCGCCUAAGUUCUCCCACUAAGAGACUUAGCUGCAGUCAGCACUCGCCUAAGUUUGAAAAAAAAUCCUACCGAGUGGAGAGCAAUCCUCCCACUCGGGGGCUUAGCUGCAGUCCAGUACUCGCCUAAGUUCUCCCACUAAGAGACUUAGCUGCAGUCAGACACUCGCCUAAGUUCGAAAAAAUCAUGCCGAGUGGAGAGCAAACCUCCCACUCGGGGGCUAAGCUGCAGCCCAGUGCUCGCCUAAGUAUUUAAAAAUCCUACCGAGUGGAGAGCAAACCUCCCACUCGGGGGCUUAGCUGCAGCCCAGCGCUCGCCUAAGUGUUUAAAAAUCCUGCCGAGUGGAGAGCAAACCUCCCACUCGGGGGCUUAGCUGCAGCCCAGCGCUCGCCUAAGUGUUUAAAAAAUCCUACCGAGUGAGAGCAAACCUCCCACUCGGGGGCUUAGCUGCAGCCCAGCGCUUGCCUAAGUACAGGACACAACCCAAUCCGCAAAGACGACGAGGUGCAAGUCGACUGCUACCUUCUCCUUCGGAGCCGCACCACAAAUACAAAAGUUAUUUUGAGUGGAGAUUGAGUUCCACUCAACGGAUCAUCCAUGAAGAUAUUCAAUGAUAAAUCAAGUUCAGAUAAGACCUAAAGGUUCCAGACCUCAGACCAAAGUACUCGAGCCCUCAGCUCGACGGAGUUUAACGGUUACAAAACCCACUCGGCAUUCCGAGGCAAAUUUAAAGUGAAGCGUAAAAGUUUUUCAUUCCUCAGGUGGAGGACUGGAAGGGGCGACGAACUCGUCCAAGUCGAUCCCAUCUGCAAUACGAGUGGUAGCAGCAAUAAAAGUCUCCAUGAAGUCUUGAAAGUUGUGCCUUCUGGUAUUGGCAACUUGGAUGGCGGCCAGCUUCUCUUCUCGCGCCUCCUUGCAAUGGACGCGGACCAGAGACAGAGCCACAUCAACGCCACACCGAGCAGAAGACUUCUUCCACUCCUGCACUCGGUCAGGGAUUCCGUUAAGUCGAGUCAUCAGAGACUCGAGAUCAUUUUGGAGCGUAGACUCUGGCCAAAGUGCCGGGUCGAUCCGCGACAUGGCAACCUUCAGUCGAGUCAAGUAAUCCACGACGCCGUCAAUGCGGGAUUCCAGUCGGAGCAGAUUCAUGGCAGCUUCAUCUUUCACGGGAGAGUUGAUUGGAUCCAAACCUGUUUCGAUCCGCCUAGUCUCCUCUUCAAAGUUCUGGCAAAACUCUGCAUGCACGAUCCAAGGAUAAGUCAAUUUUCAUAGACUGAGUCGACACAAAAAAACACCAGUCGGAACUGAAUAUGCACCUUCAAGCUUGAUGUACAACUUCUUGGCGAGGCUCCUCAAGUAGCUCUCCAGGUCGUCCCUCCUGCGAGCGAUGCCUUCCAUCUUCUUGUUCAGGGUGAGGUUCUCCUUCUUCCAACAUGUACACUCCCUGUUGGCUUCAUUCAGAGCGGUCUUCAGCUUGGUAUUCUCUUCUUCUAAUUGGCCGACCGAAGCCAGCUUUUGUGCGGCCAGAGCGGUCUUGUCAUCAGCCUCCUUACAGGCAGCAGCCAAGUCCUGAUCCUUCUUCGCCAGAGCUUCGCUCAGUUUUUCUGCAAAGAAAUGAUGAUUGAUUCGGAAAUAGCAGAAGGGUACUCAAGCCUAAAAACUAACCAGUCGACAAAGUCGUCUUACCUGCGGCGCCGUCUUUGACCUUCUGCAGCUCUGUUCUGGUCAGCUCCAGAUCAAGGUUCAGUUGAAUCUGCUGCCUCUCCAACUCAGUAUAGCGAGCUACAAGUUCGCAGGAUUUCUGUAAAAAGAAAAAUCAGUCGACAGACGUCCAAGAUAAGUUGCUUCCGAGUAACUAAGAGACAAUGAUGACGUUUCUAAGACCACAACCGAAUCAAAAACAUUCGACAGUAGUCUCGGGGACUACACCCAGUGGGUGCACUCAGCGUGCCCCCACUGUAAAAAAAGAAAAAAAAAGAAAAAGAGAGUCAACUGCCUGCAGUCGACCGGAUACAGUUCCAUUCGACAUGGCCUGACCAGACCGAGUGAAGAAAUGCAGUUACGGCAACACAAUAUAAAGACUACAGUUGACUGCCAGCAGUCCACCGUAGUCUCGAGGACUACACCCAGUGGGUGCACUUAGCGUGCCCCCACUCGUCCAAGAAUUGACAGACACACCCAGUGGGUGUACAAAUACAAAGAUCUUCGGAAAAGAGAUUCUUCAAACAGCAUAUCGUAACAGACCAAGUGUUGAGUCGACUGACCUGGAUGUUACUCUGAAGAGCCGAACUUGCGUCGUAAGCUGCUUGGCUGGCCUCCCGAGCCGCCUUCACUUGCUCCAUCAUGAUCCCCGCCUGGCGUAUAGCCUCUUUUGCAGCAGCCGCUUGGUCCUCAGGGACGGGGUACGCGGCAAAAAGCGAAGGCGGAUCCGCAGUCGACGUCGAGGGCCGCACACUCGUCAGAGGAAUGGCGAAAGUCACAGAAGCCUGAGUGGGUUCGCCAUCGUCUCGAGCUACGGCCUCAGGCGCCGGAGUGGAUUGUGGGGUCUUGUCAGCCGACGCCCUCUUGUUCCUCCUCACUCUCAGCGGUUCGUUGUCGUCGUCAUCCGGGAGGUCGAUAACAUGAGGAGGAGCUACAAGGAAAACAUUCAAUCGACCAGAAUUGCAAUAAAUGUUCAGUCGACUCAAAGCGGAACGUCAGUAAUCGUACCAGGGUUGGAGGUAACAGCAUCCUCCAUCUCUUGGUCGUCGUCCUUGGUGGAGACCUCAGAAGUAGCACCGCUGCAAAUCUCAAAAGUCAGUCAGUUGACUCAAUGAAUCGACCAAGGAUCUGUCCACGGUCGACAAAGGAAAACAAGUAUUAUUAUUAUUACCCAGAAAUGGUAGGAACAACUAUCUUCAUCUUAGGCAGAGCCUUGGGCGGCUUGGACGGCGUCGCGCGUGGGUGCUUGGGAGCCUUCCCAGUCGGCGUAGGAGAAGAGGUCCGAGGGCGUUUCGACGACUGCCAACCAGGAGCAGUCGCGUUGCCACGUUCCCGCGCUGGAUCGUGUGUGNNNNNNNNNNNNNNNNNNNNNNNNNNNNNNNNNNNNNNNNNNNNNNNNNNNNNNNNNNNNNNNNNNNNNNNNNNNNNNNNNNNNNNNNNNNNNNNNNNNNNNNNNNNNNNNNNNNNNNNNNNNNNNNNNNNNNNNNNNNNNNNNNNNNNNNNNNNNNNNNNNNNNNNNNNNNNNNNNNNNNNNNNNNNNNNNNNNNNNNNNNNNNNNNNNNNNNNNNNNNNNNNNNNNNNNNNNNNNNNNNNNNAACCUCCUCCUCCUCCUCUUCGCUGGAGUCGACGUCGUCGCCUCCCUCUCCUUCACCGUCCGACUCCCACUCGCCUUGAUCGUCCCCACUCUCGCCUCCGCUCGCCUCCCCUUCCUCAGUCAGCUCCUGUGCCCCAUUGGGCGUCGAGUACAUCUCGGUAGUCGCCUGGAAAACAACAGACAAGACAAAAGUCAAAUCGACCAACUCAAAGAAGACCAAUGAAGGAAACAAGACCUCAGUCGGGAGCAUAAAGACAUACCCGGUCCACUUCAUAUGAAUUGUCGAGUGGAACUACCCUCCUGGCUCCUCGGGGGUUGUCUUUGUUCCCCGUGAUGCUCGACAGCCACCCCUCCAGCAUCUUGUCAAUGACCUCCUCCGGGUGGACCCGAGUGGUGUCGUCGAGACCCGAGUACAGCCACAUCGGGUGGUCACGAGCCUGGAGCGGUUGGAUGCGCCUCCGGAGGAAGACCUCCAGCAAGUCCAUACCAGUCACGCCCUCACGGACAAGCUCAACCACUCGACUAGCCAGCACUUUGACAUGGGCCUUCUCCUCCGGCGUCACUUUCAGAGAAGCAGGUUUUUCAGCUCGAUCGAGAGAGAACGGAGGAAGUCCAGUCGACUGCCCUGGGGUCGCCUGGUCUUGACAGUAAAACCAGGUCGCCUGCCAACCGCGGACCGACUCUAGGAAAGUGAUGGAUGGAAAACAACUCUUUCCCCUCAUCUGGAUCGCCAGGCCCCCGCACAGCUGGAUCACCUGCAUCCUCUCGUCACUUGACUUGGCCUUCUUGGCCGAUUGAGAACGGCAGGUAAAGAUGUGCUUGAAGAGUCCCCAAUGGGGGCGGCAACCCAAGAAAGCCUCACACAUGGAAAUGAAAGCAGCAAGGUAUACGAUGGAGUUGGGAGUGAAGUGGUGGAGCUGCGCUCCGAAGAAGUUCAGGAAGCUCCGGAAAAAAGGAUGGGGCGGCAGAGAAAACCCGCGGUAGAUGUGGGUGGCUAGGAGCACGCACUCACCGUUGCGGGGUUGAGGUUCGAUCUCUCCCCCCGGGAGACGCGCAGCUUCGUGGGGAAUGACUCCCCCCUCGACCAUGUCGUCGAGAUCCUCUUGCCGGAGCACCGACGGCAUCCAGUCGCCCUGGAUCCAACCUUUGGGCAGAGCGGUCCUUGAGGAAGAUCCGCCCCGAGCAGACCUCUUCCCUUUCCCCGGCGCCGCCGCCUUCUUCGCGCGCUCCAGAGCAGACGUCUUGCCCUUCACCAUCGUCGCCGGCAAAAUCUCGGACGGGCUUGGGGCGCUAGGGUGAGAGCGGAGGUGGCGGAGGAACUUGCGAAGGGAGAGAGGAAGAAGAAAGGAGAAGAAAGCGCACUGUUUGGAAACCCCGAGCCGGCAACUUAUAAGGGGCCGCUUCCGAGUGGCUGACUGGUAGGCCCAGGCUAUCCAGUCAAAUCCCACAGCAGACGCGCGCGCAGUACGUGGCGAAAAAGGCGACGCGAGGAUCGAGGAGCUUCCGCUUUAUCGCUUCCGAUUGCUGCGGCCGCUCCCGUCCCGCGCGCUUCGCGAAAUCCGAAUCCCGCGACAUCCGCGGGCCGCAGAACAACUUGUCAAAACGGAAUACCCCGCCCGCGCCGACACUCGGUAUGCCACAAGUAAAGAAAUUCACUCAACGAAAGGCCUGGAAUGGAUCAAGGCGACUGAAAGAGGUUGAUGACGUCAUCCGUGACGGUUGGCCCAAAACGAGGCACUCACGUAGCCCGAAGAACCAGUCGGAAAGAUUUUCAACUCUUUCCCCACUCUAACCUCGAUCCAUUCGGGGGCUAAUGAUGAAGCCAUGUACCUAGGGUAGGGGCACGGACCUGUCCAAAAGGCCCUACCCUAGGACAUCCCUAGAAAAAGUCACCUUUCAAUCGACUUGAAGGUAUCCCACUCGACGGGUUCAAGACACUCGACCAAGAAGCUAUCACUCGACCAUGAAGCCAACCACUCGACUGCCAGGAGACCUAAAGUCACUCCGCAGGCAAACGGUCGGCUAUUAAGUAGUCUUUAUGGUCAUUAUAGCACUUUAUUAGUAACGCCCAACCUUAAAUGUACCUUAAACCCUGCAUUACUGAGGGCAGGAGGGGCCCGGCAAACUCUAUAUAAGCCACCCCCCCUCCUCGGUAUGGAGGGUUCGCACCCCUGUGAUCCAUACACGCAUAAUCCAAUCGACCGCCUCCGGGCUCCGAGACGUAGGGCUAUUACUUCCUCCGAGAAGGGCCUGAACUCGUAAACCUCGCGUGCUUACAACUUCUUCAUAGCUGAGAUCUAGCCUCUCCAUACACCCCCCCUACAUCACUGUCAGAGUUAGAACCACGACAAAUAUGUGUUGUAAAAAAUUUAUGAAGUAUUUGUAGUGCCUAUUUUAUUUUCUCAAAUAUAUUAGUUUUUCCUCAAUAUUUCUAUUUUUGAGAUUUUGUGACGGGGGCCUUUGCGAGAGAACUUUUUGUAGGAGGCAAAAGUGGUCACGAUCAAUCACAACAUGUAUCCAACUAUUCAUCAACCAUCCUAAGACUCAUACACUCAGAUCCAAACAUGAGCCAGCUACAAGUCCAUCAGACCUAAGAAAAAAGAUCAACACACUGCUUUCUUGCAAUCCAGUAGGAUUCCUCUCUUCAAUUACAUACCAUGAUUUGUAAAAUGAAGGAGAUAAGCAUGAGAAGCAAGAAAUCACAACACCAUUCCAAAGCAUUGUAAACAAUUAUAUACAGAUUUCUUCCUAUCCCUAAAAAUUAUAGAGCAAAA
This 14795-nucleotide long non-coding RNA is filed under the name Triticum aestivum (bread wheat). Its description in RNAcentral is "long non-coding RNA (TAES_LNC015451)". The record is from RNAcentral. Lineage: Eukaryota; Viridiplantae; Streptophyta; Magnoliopsida; Poales; Poaceae.